GUUUUGGUAGUCUAACUAUUUAAGAUAUCGGUCUUGUAAACCGAAGAUCGGAGGUGAGAUUCCUCUCCAAAACA
This 74-nucleotide transfer RNA is filed under the name Urogymnus dalyensis (giant freshwater stingray). RNAcentral's name for it is "tRNA-Thr". It matches the Rfam family "tRNA". Rfam says of the family: Transfer RNA (tRNA) molecules are approximately 80 nucleotides in length. Their secondary structure includes four short double-helical elements and three loops (D, anti-codon, and T loops). The record is from RNAcentral. Lineage: Eukaryota; Metazoa; Chordata; Chondrichthyes; Myliobatiformes; Dasyatidae.